UAUUUCCCAUCAUGCUGACUACAGCAACCCGGGAAUGGCUGACUAGCCUACCCAGGUACACCAUCAACACCUGGGCUGAGUUGAAAGCCCAAUU
RNAcentral lists this small nucleolar RNA (94 nucleotides) under Oryza punctata. RNAcentral describes it as "snoRNA snoZ256". It matches the Rfam family "Small nucleolar RNA Z256". From Rfam's summary of the family: Z256 is a member of the C/D class of snoRNA which contain the C (UGAUGA) and D (CUGA) box motifs. The record is from Rfam by way of RNAcentral. Lineage: Eukaryota; Viridiplantae; Streptophyta; Magnoliopsida; Poales; Poaceae.